Long non-coding RNA from Taeniopygia guttata (zebra finch), 2283 nucleotides. Lineage: Eukaryota; Metazoa; Chordata; Aves; Passeriformes; Estrildidae. The record is from Ensembl.
UGUCUAUAUAUUGACUUUUAUUUGCAGGAGCAUUUAAGAGUCUGGCUGUGAUUAAGACCCUAAAUUUUAGGAGAGCAAACUUUCAGUUUUUUAAGGAAGUGUCCACAUAGGAUUCCCUGGAAACUGUCCUCAAGGAUAAUGAAGCUGAACAGAGCUGGCAUCCAUUUAAAGCCAUUUUUCUUAAAGAGUAAGUACAGCCAAAACCUGUUCCCGAGACCUGGGAAACAAAAGCUAAGUCAUGACCACCAAACAGUUGUUUUACACUAAUUAAUUUUAGUUAUCAUGUUGCAUGAGGGCUUUAGUCUUCUCCAGAAUUUCAGCUUGGUCUCAAUGCAUUGAUCUUGGUUUGCACAGAUAACAGCAGACAGUAUUUACUAACAUGCCAACACCUCCUUCUGUAGCCAGCAACUAGUCUCAAGCUGGGCACUAGUGAGCAGCAGUCUGUGAUACUGAGCCACUUACUGUGAAAUGCUUGCAUAGCAAGCACUGCAUAGCAGUGGUAGUUCCAUUUGCUAUAUUUUCCAAAAGAUUGGUUGUCCCUUUCUCCAGCUAACAGAUCCAUAGCUGCGGAAUGGGGAUCCUCUUUCUGCUCAAGGGUUAAUUGAUGUGACAGCUCCAGGAAUGUUUUCCUUGGCACAGCUCCAACACAGCCAAUACUGAUUAGGGCAAUUAGCCCAUUCUGUGGUGCUGAGCUCAUGGCAGCCAGUGGUGCUGCUCAGCCCAGCUGUCAAUACUGGCAUGGCAGGUCUGCAUGGUGCAGGAUGGACCCCACUGCAUGGCUUGCAGUUCACAGCCUGAAAAAAUCCAUUUGGAUGUAGAAUUCUCUUCACCAAGAUGGCAAUGGAUAGUUGGUGCUUGAGACGUGAACCUAAAACUGGCAGAAGUUUUAUGUGUGUGUCCCCACAAUUCCACCAAUUCCAUCAUUCCCACUCAGCAAACCUCUUGGUGCCCAGAUACAGGAUGCUGAGUACAAAUCAAAGAAUUUGUUCCCUUUGAACAUUCAUUAGUAUCUAAGAUGUAUGAAUUAACAAAUUAGAAUCCCAGCCAGCAAGGCUCUGGUAAAUUGUCCCUAAGAAGAGUAGCCAGGGCAUAUUUGGGGUGGCCUAAUGGUGGCCUUCCUGUUUCUGAAGGGAGCAUAUGAGAAAGAAAGAUGGAGAAUGACUGUUUCCAAGGGUCUGGCGUGUCAAGACAAAGGGGGAUGUCUUCCCCCUCCCAGAGGGCAGGGUUAGAUGGGGACAAACUAUCCCAUGUGAGGGUGGUGAGGCCCUGGCACAGGUUUCCUGGAGAAGCUGUCCUGGAGAUGGCUGCCCCAUCCCUGGAAGUGUUCAAGGCCAGACUGGACAGGGCUUGGAGCCAACUGGUCUAGAGGAAUGUGUUGCUGCCUAUGGCAGGGAGGGUGGAACCAGAUGAUCUACAAGCUUUAUGAUUACAAAGUCCCCUUCUAAUCCAAACCAUUCUCUGAUUCUCUGAAUGCAGAUGAGUACUACAAUAAUCAUAAUUUCAAAAUAUUAUGGUGAUCAUCUUCAAAAAUCAACAUUCAAGAGGAAAACAUUCUCAGCACAAUGAUGGUUUGUGCAAUUAUAAUCUCUUCUACAAGGUCAUGAAAUUAAAAUUUAUGUUAAUUACAGCCCAUGGCAAUGAUUAUGCUAACAAACUGUUCCACUAAUUAUAUUUAGGUACUUAGAUUGCAUUAGCCAAGAAGUUUUAUGCAAAGAUUUGAAUAAUGCCUAUAUCUCAUAAAUAAUAAAAAAUAUUAAUGCAGAUAAUACAUGCCUCAACCCACAAUUACAGCAACAUGUUUUAAUUCAGUUGCUUAACACACAAGUUUAAAAACGGAAUUAGAAAACAUAGAUACUAAUCAGUUCUAUGAGAUCCAUACUUGCUUAUCUUUGAACUUUUUUUUCUUUAAAUAAGAUAGGAAUUCAAGAAAUGAAGUGAAAUAUCUUCCUUUUUCGAAAUGAAAGUUUUUUUUCAACAGGUAUUCCAGCUCUUUGAACCUCCCUCUGAUCAAACCAGUAUUGUACAUACUGGUUUUUUACCUUCUGCCCAUGAACCAGGGGAUCCAGUCUGACCCUCGGUGCUGAUCUCCCCUAGUCACUUAGAGACUCUUGAGCCAGCCUUAGGCAUGGCCCAGGUCCUCCACCACACACCCACUCCCGGUGGCUUGGGCCUUGAAAGUAGUCUCUUCUUUGGCCAGCUGAGUAUUACACUUCCUUGUAUAUUUAUUGAGAAAGACAAAUGGAAACUCUUGCACACAGCAGUUACUGCCACAAAAAUUCUUGU